Molecule: ribosomal RNA, 478 nt
Filed under: uncultured bacterium
Lineage: Bacteria
Description: partial 16S ribosomal RNA
Rfam family: Bacterial small subunit ribosomal RNA
Source: RNAcentral
GACGAACGCUGGCGGCGUGCUUAACACAUGCAAGUCGAACGGUAAGGCCCUUCGGGGUACACGAGUGGCGAACGGGUGAGUAACACGUGGGUGAUCUGCCCUGCACUUCGGGAUAAGCCGGGGAAACUGGGUCUAAUACCGGAUAGGACCACUGCCUGCAUGGGUGGUGGUGGAAAGCUUUUGCGGUGUGGGAUGGGCCCGCGGCCUAUCAGCUUGUUGGUGGGGUGAUGGCCUACCAAGGAGACGACGGGUAGCCGGCCUGAGAGGGUGACCGGCCACACUGGGACUGAGAUACGGCCCAGACUCCUACGGGAGGCAGCAGUGGGGAAUAUUGCACAAUGGGCGCAAGCCUGAUGCAGCGACGCCGCGUGAGGGGUGACGGCCUUCGGGUUGUAAACCUCUUUCAGCACCGACGAAGCGCAAGUGACGGUAGGUGCAGAAGAAGGACCGGCCAACUACGUGCCAGCCGCCGCCGUAA